Prosopis cineraria is the source of this 580-nucleotide long non-coding RNA. RefSeq lists it as uncharacterized. Lineage: Eukaryota; Viridiplantae; Streptophyta; Magnoliopsida; Fabales; Fabaceae. The transcript is spliced from 2 exons. The record is from RefSeq and is a predicted model, not a curated record.
UUCUUUCUCUCUUCAUUCCUAUUUGGGAGGUUCAACUAGUCAUCCGCUACCCCUUGCUAUCGGUUAAUACCUCCAUUUCUCCAAACAGAUCCUUAAGUUAUAACUCUUACCUUCAGAUGGCAUCAUCAUCUUGGACACCGAGGCAAAACAAACUAUUUGAACGAGCUUUGGCUUUAUACGAUAGAGAAACCCCUGAUAGGUGGCAGAAUGUUGCUAGAGAGGUGGGAAAAUCUGUUGAGGAGGUUAAAAGGCAUUAUGAGAUCCUUAAAGAAGAUGUCAAACGCAUAGAGCAUGGUCAAGUCUCAUACCCCCCGUAUAGUAACCACGCAUAAGGGUUCUACAAUAAAUAGCACAGGCUCUCGAGGCUUCUAAAUCUAACUCAAGAAGGUGUAGCAUGUUGCUGAUGAUUAUUAAAUAAACAAAAGUAUUGUUAGACACACUAUACAAGAGUCCAAUUGCAAGCUACUAUGCAACUAUGAUAGUCUUCUAGCCUGUUUUCCUCCUUUUAUUUGUAAAACAAUAUCUAUCUAUGUUGAAGUCUUGUCGAAUUACUCUAUAUAUAUAAAUCAUUAUUAUUAUA